AUCACAUGCUCAAUAUAUACAGAGAUUCCAUAAGUGUUCCCACAGGGUUUCACUAGCCAGGUUCUUUCCCCAGGGAAGCAUAACCCUGGCAAAUAAGGGAUAUAUGAGCAUGAAGAGAGCUGAGUGUGUGUUUUUCCAAAGAUCAUUGGAGUUUCCCCUGCUUCCUUCCUCACAAUGUGUGCCAAGGACACAUCAGAAAUGUGCAUCAGCUGGGUGGUUGACCUGGAUUUCCCAAGCACUUAACUUUGCACCACUCUUCAUUGAGGCCUCUUGGGCAACUGUGACAACAGAACCUACUUGGAGCACUUGAUUUGUCAAGGUGCAUUUUGGCAUGAAAGGUUCUCUUCCCAGCCAGGAGCCAGAUGGACCACUCCAUGAGCCUUCACACUGUAAAUAAAG
This is a non-coding RNA of Taeniopygia guttata (zebra finch), 399 nucleotides long. NCBI's taxonomy places the organism in Eukaryota, Metazoa, Chordata, Aves, Passeriformes, Estrildidae. The record is from RefSeq and is a predicted model, not a curated record.